RNAcentral lists this ribosomal RNA (922 nucleotides) under uncultured bacterium. RNAcentral describes it as "bacterial SSU rRNA". It matches the Rfam family "Bacterial small subunit ribosomal RNA", at positions 153 to 1051 of the family's 1533-position model. The record is from RNAcentral.
GAAAGGGGUGCUAAUACCGAAUACGAUCACGCUGCCGCAUGGCGGUGUGAUGAAAGAUGGCCUCUAUUUAUAAGCUAUCGCUGAAGGAUGGGCCUGCGUCUGAUUAGCUAGUUGGUGGGGUAACGGCCUACCAAGGCGAUGAUCAGUAGCCGGUCUGAGAGGAUGAACGGCCACAUUGGGACUGAGACACGGCCCAAACUCCUACGGGAGGCAGCAGUGGGGAAUAUUCCGCAAUGGACGAAAGUCUGACGGAGCAACGCCGCGUGAGUGAUGAAGGUUUACGGACUGUAAAGCUCUGUUGUAUAGGACGAAAGUGCCUGCUGCAAACAGUUGCAGGUAUUGACGGUACUGAACGAGGAAGCCACGGCUAACUACGUGCCAGCAGCCGCGGUAAUACGUAGGUGGCAAGCGUUGUCCGGAAUUAUUGGGCGUAAAGAGCAUGUAGGUGGGCUGUUAAGUCUGUUGUGAAAAUGCGGGGCUCAACCCCGUAUUGCGAUGGAAACUGACAGUCUUGAGUGCAGGAGAGGAAAGGGGAAUUCCCAGUGUAGCGGUGAAAUGCGUAGAUAUUGGGAGGAACACCAGUGGCGAAGGCGCCUUUCUGGACUGUGUCUGACACUGAGAUGCGAAAGCUAGGGGAGCGAACGGGAUUAGAUACCCCGGUAGUCCUAGCCGUAAACGAUGGGUACUAGGUGUAGGGGGUAUCGACCCCCCCUGUGCCGGAGUUAACGCAAUAAGUACCCCGCCUGGGGAGUACGGCCGCAAGGUUGAAACUCAAAGGAAUUGACGGGGGCCCGCACAAGCGGUGGAGUAUGUGGUUUAAUUCGACGCAACGCGAAGAACCUUACCAAGGCUUGACAUUGAGUGAAAUGUUAAGAGAUUAGCACCCCUCUUCGGAGGCACGAAAACAGGUGGUGCAUGGCUG